This 511-nucleotide ribosomal RNA is filed under the name uncultured Glomus. RNAcentral describes it as "SSU rRNA". It matches the Rfam family "Eukaryotic small subunit ribosomal RNA", at positions 569 to 1082 of the family's 1831-position model. Lineage: Eukaryota; Fungi; Glomeromycota; Glomeromycetes; Glomerales; Glomeraceae. The record is from RNAcentral.
AGCAGCCGCGGUAAUUCCAGCUCCAAUAGCGUAUAUUAAAGUUGUUGCAGUUAAAAAGCUCGUAGUUGAAUUUCGGGGUUAGCAGGUCGGUCGUGCCAUCGGUAUGAACUGGUCUCGCUGAUCCCUCCCUCUUGACGAACUGUGAUGCCAUUAAUUUGGUGUCGCAGGGAUCAGGACUGUUAACUUUGAAAAAAUUGAGUGUUUAAAGCAGGCUCACGCUUGAAUACAUUAGCAUGGAAUAAUGAAAUAGGACGUUUGAUCCUAUUUUGUUGGCUUCUAGGAUUGACGUAAUGAUUAAUAGGGAUAGUUGGGGGCAUUAGUAUUCAAUUGUCAGAGGUGAAAUUCUUGGAUUUAUUGAAGACUAACGUACUGCGUAAAGCAAUUUGCCUAAGGAUGUUUCAUUAAUCUAAGAACGAAAGUUAGGGGAUCGAAGACGAUCAGAUACCGUCGUAGUCUUAACCAUAACCUAUGCCGACUAGGGAUCGGAUGUAUUGUUAAUUUUAUGUACUCU